AUGUACAUGUAUGUGCUGAAAAUUCAAUACGAGAAUCAUGAAGAAAGACGUCAAGUUUCUUCUAAUAUUUCUACCUCUCAUUUCAAUGUUGGGAUUAUUCAUGAAACCCGUGACAGGAGAACUAAAGCAAUGUAGAUUUUCUCCUAAAAGCCGAUGUAGUGACCCGAAUUUCCGUAACAUGUGCAAGAGAAAAUGCUCAUCAAGGAAAUGAACUCGAUUUUCUGACAAACGAUGACGACUUUGGAAUUAAUCAUUUUAGUUAUUAAAAACAAUGUAAUUAAAUGUGAAAAUAAAUAAAAUUCUAUGCAUU
Molecule: long non-coding RNA, 310 nt
Organism: Hylaeus volcanicus
Lineage: Eukaryota; Metazoa; Arthropoda; Insecta; Hymenoptera; Colletidae
Exons: 3
Source: RefSeq, a predicted model, not a curated record